GGUGCGUAGGCGGCUUUUUAAGUCAGUGGUGAAAUCCUGCCGCUUAACGGUAGAAUUGCCAUUGAUACUGAAGAGCUUGAGUUCAGUUGAGGUAAGCGGAAUGUGUAGUGUAGCGGUGAAAUGCUUAGAUAUUACACAGAACACCAAUUGCGAAGGCAGCUUACUAAACUGACACUGACGCUGAUGCACGAAAGCGUGGGGAGCGAACAGGAUUAGAUACCCUGGUAGUCCACGCCGUAAACGAUGUUCACUCGCUGUUUGCGAUACACAGCAAGCGGCCAAGCGAAAGCAUUAAGUGAACCACCUGGGGAGUACGAUCGCAAGGUUGAAACUCAAAGGAAUUGACGGGGGCCCGCACAAGCGGAGGAACAUGUGGUUUAAUUCGAUGAUACGCGAGGAACCUUACCUGGGCUUAAAUGUAGAACGACAGAUUGUGAAAGCAGUCCUUCUUCGGACGUUUUACAAGGUGCUGCAUGGUUGUCGUCAGCUCGUGCCGUGAGGUGUCGGGUUAAGUCCCAUAACGAGCGCAACCCUUAUCGUUAGUUGCCAGCGGGUCAAGCCGGGGACUCUAGCGAGACUGCCACCGUAAGGUGUGAGGAAGGUGGGGAUGACGUCAAAUCAGCACGGCCCUUAUGUCCAGGGCUACACACGUGUUACAAUGGCCGGUACAAAGGGCAGCUACUUCGCGAGAAGAUGCUAAUCUCGAAAGCCGGUCUCAGUUCGGAUCGAAGUCUGCAACCCGACUUCGUGAAGCUGGAUUCGCUAGUAAUCGCAUAUCAGCCAUGAUGCGGUGAAUACGUUCCCGGGCCUUGUACACACCGCCCGUCAAACAAUGGAAGCUGGGGGUAUCUGAAGUCUGUAACCGAAAGGAGCGGC
This 876-nucleotide ribosomal RNA is filed under the name uncultured bacterium. RNAcentral's name for it is "bacterial SSU rRNA". It matches the Rfam family "Bacterial small subunit ribosomal RNA", at positions 566 to 1456 of the family's 1533-position model. The record is from RNAcentral.